UACGUAGGGGGCAAGCGUUGUCCGGAUUUAUUGGGCGUAAAGAGCGUGUAGGCGGUUAGGUAGGUCCGUUGUGAAAACCCGAGGCUCAACCUCGAGACGUCGGCGGAAACCAUCUGGCUAGAGUCCGGAAGAGGAGAAUGGAAUUCCUGGUGUAGCGGUGAAAUGCGCAGAUAUCAGGAAGAACACCCGUGGCGAAGGCGGUUCUCUGGGACGGUACUGACGCUGAGACGCGAAAGCGUGGGGAGCGAACAGG
This 253-nucleotide ribosomal RNA is filed under the name uncultured bacterium. RNAcentral describes it as "partial 16S ribosomal RNA". It matches the Rfam family "Bacterial small subunit ribosomal RNA", at positions 524 to 776 of the family's 1533-position model. The record is from RNAcentral.